GGGGCUGACUUGGUUUCGACAUUUAAAAUUUGUUUGUAUAUGUCAGGUCGAAGUUUGUAUUCUUCGUAAAAAAUACUAAAUUAUUAAUAAAUGCUAAUAAUAUCAUCCCUUUUAAGUUUAAAACAGCGAAAAAUAAUGUACGAUUUUGUUUUGCUGUUUAAUUUAUUAAGUUAGGUUAAUAAAUAUUUUUUCAUUAUAACUAGACUUUUAUCUAGGUUAUAGUUUAGAAUAAUUUUAAGUUUUAAAAUCUGUUCAAAUUAUUAUUUGAACUAAACCUGUGAAUGAGUAUACUAAUAAAUAUUAGAUGGACAUGGGUUCAAUUCCCAUCAGCUCCA
This 335-nucleotide transfer-messenger RNA is filed under the name Roundia cardiophora. RNAcentral describes it as "ssrA". It matches the Rfam family "transfer-messenger RNA". From Rfam's summary of the family: Bacterial tmRNA, also known as 10Sa RNA or SsrA, is named for its dual tRNA and mRNA-like properties. Its role is to liberate the mRNA from a stalled ribosome. The record is from RNAcentral. Lineage: Eukaryota; Bacillariophyta; Thalassiosirophyceae; Thalassiosirales; Thalassiosiraceae.